This 460-nucleotide ribosomal RNA is filed under the name uncultured bacterium. RNAcentral's name for it is "partial 16S ribosomal RNA". It matches the Rfam family "Bacterial small subunit ribosomal RNA", at positions 338 to 795 of the family's 1533-position model. The record is from RNAcentral.
CCUACGGGCGGCAGCAGUGAGGAAUAUUGGUCAAUGGCCGUAAGGCUGAACCAGCCAAGUCGCGUGAAGGAAGAAGGAUCUAUGGAUUGUAAACUUCUUUUAUAGGGGAAUAAAUGGAUCCACGUGUGGAAGUUUGCAUGUACCCUAUGAAUAAGCAUCGGCUAACUACGUGCCAGCAGCCGCGGUAAUACGGAGGAUGCGAGCGUUAUCCGGAUUUAUUGGGUUUAAAGGGUGCGUAGGUUGUUUUUUAAGUCAGCGGUGAAAGUUUGUGGCUCAACCAUAAAAUUGCAGUUGAAACUGGCAGACUUGAGUGCAGGUGAGGUAGGCGGAAUGCGUGGUGUAGCGGUGAAAUGCUUAGAUAUCACGAAGAACUCCGAUUGUGAAGGCAGCUUACUGGACUGUAACUGACACUGAGGCUCGAAAGCGUGGGGAUCAAACAGGAUUAGAUACCCGGGUAGUC